This 90-nucleotide transfer RNA is filed under the name Candidatus Accumulibacter phosphatis. RNAcentral describes it as "tRNA-Ser". It matches the Rfam family "tRNA". Rfam says of the family: Transfer RNA (tRNA) molecules are approximately 80 nucleotides in length. Their secondary structure includes four short double-helical elements and three loops (D, anti-codon, and T loops). The record is from RNAcentral. Lineage: Bacteria; Pseudomonadati; Pseudomonadota; Betaproteobacteria. RNAcentral also lists the same sequence under 1 other name.
GGAGAGAUGGAUGAGUGGUCUAAGUCGCACGCCUGGAAAGCGUGUGUGGGAUAACACCCACCGCGGGUUCGAAUCCCGCUCUCUCCGCCA